GAUGAAUCGGGUCGCCCCUACAUGACGUAUAAUGCCCGGCGAAAGACCUCUAAUGCUACCGUGAAAGUAAUUGGUCAGGGUACUGGUGUGAUUAGCAUUAACGAAACAGACAUACACUUUUUCCAAAGAGAACAAGAUAAAAAGCAGAUAAUUUUCCCUUUACAAUUCAACGAUAUGCUAGGGAAAGUUGACGUUGUGGCUACUGUGGACGGCUGAGGCACUUCUGCCCAAUCGGGUGCGAUUCGCCUUGGCAUUUCCAUGUGCCUGAGAUCUUUCGUAAACGCAGAGACCAUAGAGCGCAUGCGUUUGGCCGGACUUCUUUCAUUUGACCCGCGAACACGUGAAAGGAAGAAGCCCGGUCAAGCUGGUGCUCGAAAAAGUUCACGUGGAAGAAACGAUAGUCAACUUUAAAGUCUUAUGGAUGAGUAAAUACAAAUUAAUCGAUACAUUUUU
Daphnia magna is the source of this 453-nucleotide long non-coding RNA. RefSeq lists it as uncharacterized. The transcript is spliced from 3 exons. NCBI's taxonomy places the organism in Eukaryota, Metazoa, Arthropoda, Branchiopoda, Diplostraca, Daphniidae. The record is from RefSeq and is a predicted model, not a curated record.